UACAGAGGGGGCAAGCGUUGUUCGGAAUCAUUGGGCGUAAAGCGCACGUAGGCGGACUGUUAAGUCGGAUGUGAAAUCCCUCAGCUUAACUGAGGAAGUGCAUUCGAAACUGGCAGUCUUGAGUAUGGAAGAGGGUCGCGGAAUUCCCGGUGUAGAGGUGAAAUUCGUAGAUAUCGGGAGGAACACCAGUGGCGAAGGCGGCGAUCUGGGAAGAUACUGACGCUGAGGUGCGAAAGCGUGGGGAGCAAACAGG
RNAcentral lists this ribosomal RNA (253 nucleotides) under uncultured bacterium. RNAcentral's name for it is "partial 16S ribosomal RNA". It matches the Rfam family "Bacterial small subunit ribosomal RNA", at positions 524 to 776 of the family's 1533-position model. The record is from RNAcentral.